RNAcentral lists this ribosomal RNA (377 nucleotides) under uncultured bacterium. RNAcentral describes it as "bacterial SSU rRNA". It matches the Rfam family "Bacterial small subunit ribosomal RNA", at positions 523 to 898 of the family's 1533-position model. The record is from RNAcentral.
AUACGUAGGGGGCAAGCGUUGUCCGGAAUUAUUGGGCGUAAAGCGCGCGCAGGCGGUCUUUUAAGUCUGAUGUGAAAGCCCACGGCUUAACCGUGGAGGGUCAUUGGAAACUGGAGGACUUGAGUGCAGAAGAGGAGAGUGGAAUUCCACGUGUAGCGGUGAAAUGCGUAGAGAUGUGGAGGAACACCAGUGGCGAAGGCGACUCUCUGGUCUGUAACUGACGCUGAGGUGCGAAAGCGUGGGUAGCGAACAGGAUUAGAUACCCUGGUAGUCCACGCCGUAAACGAUGAGUGCUAGGUGUUAGGGGGUUUCCGCCCCUUAGUGCUGAAGUUAACGCAAUAAGCACUCCGCCUGGGGAGUACGGCCGCAAGGCUGAA